CAAUAGCGUAUAUUAAAGUUGUUGCAGUUAAAAAGCUCGUAGUUGAAUUUUUGCUUGCCGCCGAUGUCGGAACUUCCGUACGUUCGGCGGCGUGCAUCCUUGGGUGGAACCUGUGUGGCAUUAGGUUGUCGUGCAGGGGAUGCUCAUCGUUUACUGUGAAAAAAUUAGAGUGUUCAAAGCAGGCUUACGCCGUUGAAUAUAUUAGCAUGGAAUAAUAAGAUAGGACCUUGGUACUAUUUUGUUGGUUUGCGCACCGAGGUAAUGAUUAACAGGGACAGUUGGGGGUAUUCGUAUUCCAUUGUCAGAGGUGAAAUUCUUGGAUUUCUGGAAGACGAACUACUGCGAAAGCAUUUACCAAGGAUGUUNUCAUUAA
RNAcentral lists this ribosomal RNA (373 nucleotides) under uncultured eukaryote. Its description in RNAcentral is "partial 18S ribosomal RNA". It matches the Rfam family "Eukaryotic small subunit ribosomal RNA", at positions 592 to 976 of the family's 1831-position model. The record is from RNAcentral.